GAAAUCUUCAAAGCAAACCUUUUGUUAAUUCAAUCGGUCUCUUGCUUUGGUAUUGGAGGUCUUUGCAGCUUCACACCUGCUCCUCUUUGUUCAUUAGCUGGAUCUCAGUGUUAUGCUUGGUUCCACUCGGCGUGAUAAGUUAUCUAUCGCUGAGGACACCGUAAAAAAGUGGCCAAGGUAAAUGCAGACGAACCGCUUCUAAUAGUCCAUUGACUUGGACAAUUAAAUUUUUAUGAUCUGAUCUCAAAUCAGGUAGGACUACCCGCUGAACUUAA
This 275-nucleotide unclassified non-coding RNA is filed under the name Thanatephorus cucumeris. RNAcentral describes it as "partial ITS2". The record is from RNAcentral. Lineage: Eukaryota; Fungi; Basidiomycota; Agaricomycetes; Cantharellales; Ceratobasidiaceae.